RNAcentral lists this ribosomal RNA (122 nucleotides) under Colletotrichum gloeosporioides Cg-14. Lineage: Eukaryota; Fungi; Ascomycota; Sordariomycetes; Glomerellales; Glomerellaceae. The record is from RNAcentral.
ACAUGCGACCAUACCCACUAGAGAACUCGGGAUCCCGUCCGCUCUCCCAUAGAUAAGCCAGUGAGGGGAGUGUUUUCAGUUGGGUCGCUGAUGACUACCGAACAUUGCGCCUUUCGUUUGUU